Molecule: small RNA, 130 nt
Filed under: Salinisphaera orenii subsp. halophila YIM 95161
Lineage: Bacteria; Pseudomonadati; Pseudomonadota; Gammaproteobacteria; Salinisphaerales; Salinisphaeraceae
Description: RtT RNA
Rfam family: RtT RNA
About the family: This family represents a bacterial cis-regulatory element known as RtT RNA. The exact function of RtT is unknown although it is thought that it may be involved in changing the cellular response in relation to amino acid starvation.
Source: RNAcentral
CGCAAGGCCGGACUGAGGAGGGUUCGAACCGAGAGGUUCGACGAGCGCGCAGCGCGAGAACGGUGGAGCGAAGCGACACCGGCCCGAAGGGCGAGACGCGAAGCGUCGAGUAAUCCUCCUCCCUCCACCA